This is a non-coding RNA of Chryseobacterium sp., 94 nucleotides long. Lineage: Bacteria; Pseudomonadati; Bacteroidota; Flavobacteriia; Flavobacteriales; Weeksellaceae. The record is from Rfam.
CAUUAGCCGCGAUUGAAACGACAUCCUUUUUUGUUGCGGCCGGAGCGAAGCGCAGGCCGUAACAAAAAAGAUACAGUGGAAAGCGGGAAAUAGC